GCCACCGUAGCUCAGCCUGGUUAGAGCGGCGGUUUCGUAAACCGCAGGUCCGGGGUUCGAAUCCCUGCGGUGGCU
Molecule: transfer RNA, 75 nt
Filed under: Euryarchaeota archaeon RBG_16_68_12
Lineage: Archaea; Methanobacteriati; Methanobacteriota
Description: tRNA-Thr
Rfam family: tRNA
About the family: Transfer RNA (tRNA) molecules are approximately 80 nucleotides in length. Their secondary structure includes four short double-helical elements and three loops (D, anti-codon, and T loops).
Source: RNAcentral